GAGCGAAGCUUUUCAGUAGUUUACUACAGAAAAUGACUGAGCGGCGAAGGGUGAGUAACGCGUGAGCAACCUACCUUAGUUACUGGGAUAGCCCGAGGAAACUCGGAUUAAUACCGGAUAUUCUUAUUUAAUCACAUGAUUUUUUAAGGAAAGGUCAGCCGAACUAAGAUGGGCUCGCGUCCUAUCAGCUAGUUGGUAGGGUAAUGGCCUACCAAGGCUACGACGGAUAGCUGGUCUGAGAGGACGAUCAGCCACACUGGGACUGAGACACGGCCCAGACUCCUACGGGAGGCUGCAGCAGGGAAUAUUGCGCAAUGAGCGAAAGCUUGACGCAGCGACACCGCGUGUGGGAUGACGGAUCUAGGUUUGUAAACCACUUUCAGGAGGGAAGAAAAUGACGGUACCUCCACAAGAAGCCCCGGCCAACUACGUGCCAGCAGCCGCGGUAAUACGUAGGGGGCGAGCGUUGUCCGGAUUUAUUGGGCGUAAAGAGCUCGUAGGCGGUUCAACAAGUCGGUCGUGAAAGUUCAGGGCUCAACCCUGAAAUGUCGAUCGAUACUGUUGUGACUAGGAUACGGUAGAGGUGAGUGGAAUUCCGAGUGUAGCGGUGAAAUGCGUAGAUAUUCGGAGGAACACCAAUUGCGAAGGCAGCUCACUGGGCCGCUAUCGACGCUGAGGAGCGAAAGCUAG
Molecule: ribosomal RNA, 690 nt
Filed under: uncultured bacterium
Lineage: Bacteria
Description: bacterial SSU rRNA
Rfam family: Bacterial small subunit ribosomal RNA
Source: RNAcentral